UAGCUCAGUUAGAGCAUGGUGUUUGCAACGCCAGGGUUGUGGGUUCGAUUCCCAC
This 55-nucleotide transfer RNA is filed under the name Salmo salar (Atlantic salmon). It matches the Rfam family "tRNA", at positions 8 to 63 of the family's 71-position model. Rfam says of the family: Transfer RNA (tRNA) molecules are approximately 80 nucleotides in length. Their secondary structure includes four short double-helical elements and three loops (D, anti-codon, and T loops). Further hydrogen bonds mediate the characteristic L-shaped molecular structure. tRNAs have two regions of fundamental functional importance: the anti-codon, which is responsible for specific mRNA codon recognition, and the 3' end, to which the tRNAs corresponding amino acid is attached (by aminoacyl-tRNA synthetases). tRNAs cope with the degeneracy of the genetic code in two manners: having more than one tRNA (with a specific anti-codon) for a particular amino acid; and 'wobble' base-pairing, i.e. permitting non-standard base-pairing at the 3rd anti-codon position. The record is from Rfam by way of RNAcentral. Lineage: Eukaryota; Metazoa; Chordata; Actinopteri; Salmoniformes; Salmonidae.